Thalassophryne amazonica is the source of this 161-nucleotide long non-coding RNA. RefSeq lists it as uncharacterized. Lineage: Eukaryota; Metazoa; Chordata; Actinopteri; Batrachoidiformes; Batrachoididae. The transcript has 3 exons. The record is from RefSeq and is a predicted model, not a curated record.
UUACAUGUCAGACCUUUAAUAAAACUGGUUACUAAUGGGAACAAAAAUAAAUCUAGAGGAGUCGUUGCACACCUGCGCCCCCUUCAGUUUUCAACAACAGUCAAGUGAGCUACAGUGUCCCUCAGUAAAUAAAAUUCUUACGUCUUAUGCCAAACUUCAGA